UUUUAUUUCUAGUGAUUGGAAUGAUGGGAAUUUAAACCCCUUUCAGAGUAACAAUUGGAGGGCAAGUCUGGUGCCAGCAGCCGCGGUAAUUCCAGCUCCAAUAGCGUAUAUUAAAGUUGUUGCAGUUAAAAAGCUCGUAGUUGGAUGUCUGCUGGAAGCAAUCAGUCCGCCCUAUUUGUAGGGUGUGCACUUGAUGAAUUCUGGCAUCUAUGUCCCAAUAGUAUGUGAUGGUGUAUAUACCCUGUGUAUAUUAUACCAUCUAUAUUGGGAUAAUACCGUUACUUUGAGAAAAUUAGAGUGUUUGAAGCAGGCUAAUUGCCUUGAAUACUGCAGCAUGGAAUAACAAUAUAGGAUUUCGGUUCUAUUUUGUUGGUUUCUAGGACUGAAAUAAUGAUUAAUAGGGACAGUUGGGGGCAUUCGUAUUUAACUGUCAGAGGUGAAAUUCUUAGAUUUGUUAAAGACGAACUACUGCGAAAGCAUUUGCCAAAGAUGUUUUCAUUAAUCAAGAACGAAAGUUAGGGGCUCGAAGACGAUCAGAUACCGUCGUAGUCUUAACCAUAAACUAUGCCGACUAGAGAUAG
This 581-nucleotide ribosomal RNA is filed under the name Sarcocystis cruzi. RNAcentral describes it as "SSU rRNA". It matches the Rfam family "Eukaryotic small subunit ribosomal RNA", at positions 494 to 1055 of the family's 1831-position model. Lineage: Eukaryota; Apicomplexa; Conoidasida; Eucoccidiorida; Sarcocystidae. The record is from RNAcentral.